AUGUUGAAGUUAAAGACAAAUGAGAAAGUGGGAGACGAGGCUUUUCUGCCUGGGACACACGAAAGACCCGGGGCUAACUUCCCUAAUAAACGAAGAAUUCUUGGAAACCGAUACCGUACAGACCAAAUCGCGCCUGAAAAAUGGGCAAAAAGGGAGGACACUGGCAAUUCACAGAAAAGCACAAAUGGCCGACAGACCUGCGGGACAGAACUCAUGACCCGACUUCCAAAGACCGAAAAACCGAGAGCGCGACUCGCGCGCUUCAGCGGCCGCUCUCCUCACGCGGCCGCGCGUGCCGCCGCCGGGCCGGUCCACCGCCGUCCAGCCGGACGGUUGAUGUGCGGGGCGCAUCGCCGCCUGAGGACCUGUGCGGCGGGAAACGCGGUGGCACCGCGCGGGACAGACGACCAUCGAGGACUCGGUUGUCAGUCACACCGUCGGUCAGGCCGAAGCGUGCAGCCACGACCCGCUCCACAUGCAAGGACCUGCCUUGGUUUCGUCCUUAGAAACGUCGCCAGCAUCCGGUGCAGAGUGUCACAGAGCCUUGGUUUGCAUCUGAUAUGGGUGAGUACAUGAAUGGAUGAUUUUUUUUUUUCCUGAAAAUUGGCGUUGAGGCGUCUACUCGUACAUUUAUCCUGCCUUUUCACUGAACGUAUUAUGACAUCUGAUGUUCCUCAAGAGACAAGAGCUUUUAGGCGGAAAGAGUUCAUUUCAUGCAGUGAUCACGUGCAUGCGUCGUAUACACUUGUCGCCAAGUUCUUGCCGUCCCAAAGAGCUGAUAACUGCUCUGUAGAUUUCUGAAUAUUGUGAAUGUUCAUAGACUUUAGAUUCCCAGAAAUGGACUUGCUAGAUCAAAGCACACACACACUUAUGUAUUUAUAAAUGCAUUUUUACUUGAAGGAUAAUUGCUUUGCACUAUUGUGUUGGUCUCUGCCAUACAUCAACAUGAAUCAGCCAUAGGUUUACUUAUGUCCUCUCCCUCUGAACCUCCCUGGUGCCUCCCACCCCAUCCCGCCCCUCUGGGUCGUCCCAGAGCACAGGGUUUGAGCUCCCUGUGUCACACAGCAGGUUUCCACUGGCCGUCUAACUUUACACAUGGUAGUGUCGAUGUUUUGGUACUACUCUCAAUGCAUCCCACCAGCUCCUUCCCCGGCUGCUGUGUCCACAGUCUGCUCUCUACGUCUGUAUCUCCACCGCCGCCCUGCAGAUAGGUUCAUCGGUCCCAUCUUUCUGGACUCCAUAUAUAGCGCUAAUAUGUGUUAUUUGUCUUUCAACCUCUUUCUGACUUACUUCACUCUGUAUAACAGGCUCUAGGCUCACCCAUCUCGUCAGAACUGAGUCAGAAGCAUUCCUUUUUAUGGCCGAGUGAUAUUCCAUUGUGUGUAUGAACCGCAGCUUCUUUACCCACUCAUCUGUCACUGGACGUCUGGGUUGCUUCCAUGUCCUAGAUGCUGUAGAUGCAAGGCACACACACGUUUUAGGCUGUGGUCCCUAUGACCACAAUCGUGCUCGACCACCAGCAUUUGAGAAUGUCCGUUUCCUUGGAACCUUCCUGACUUCCCUCCACGUUGGCACUUGGACACGUCGCCUUCCCCGAGCCCUGCUGCGCCGGGCGUCUGUUUUGAUAUCAGAACUGUGAUGCGGGGUCUGUGUUGUGUUUAUCGCACAUGUGAACAUCCUCCUGUAAACAGUCGAUUCACAUCCUUUGCCCACUUUUCUACUUUGAGUGUUCAGCUUUCUCUCUGACGUGGCUCUUCACGUACUGGUGAAAUAAAGCCCUCUACUGUCGCCUCUGUUUCUACA
Long non-coding RNA from Bos indicus x Bos taurus (hybrid cattle), 1803 nucleotides. Lineage: Eukaryota; Metazoa; Chordata; Mammalia; Artiodactyla; Bovidae. The record is from Ensembl.